GCUGAAGGUAUGUAACCAAUGAACACGCUGAACCUUCCUUAGACUACUGGCUGAAGGUAUGUAAACCAAUGAACACGCUGAACCUUCCUUAGACUACUGGCUGAAGGUAUGUAAACCAAUGAACACGCUGAAACUUCCUUAGACUACUGGCUGAAGGUAUGUUAACCAAUGAACACGCUGAACCUUCCUUAGACUACUG
Salvelinus sp. IW2-2015 is the source of this 199-nucleotide non-coding RNA. Lineage: Eukaryota; Metazoa; Chordata; Actinopteri; Salmoniformes; Salmonidae. The record is from RefSeq and is a predicted model, not a curated record.